CAGGCUUAACACAUGCAAGUCGAGGGGCAGCAUUUCGCUAGCAAUAGUGAAGAUGGCGACCGGCGCACGGGUGAGUAACACGUAUCCAACCUGCCGAUAACUCGGAGAUAGCCUUUCGAAAGAAAGAUUAAUAUCCGAUGGUAUAUUAAGAUCGCAUGGUUUUACUAUUAAAGAAUUUCGGUUAUCGAUGGGGAUGCGUUCCAUUAGUUUGUUGGCGGGGUAACGGCCCACCAAGACUACGAUGGAUAGGGGUUCUGAGAGGAAGGUCCCCCACAUUGGAACUGAGACACGGUCCAAACUCCUACGGGAGGCAGCAGUGAGGAAUAUUGGUCAAUGGGCGAGAGCCUGAACCAGCCAAGUAGCGUGAGGGAUGAAGGCUCUAUGGGUCGUAAACCUCUUUUAUAUGGGAAUAAAGUUUUCCACGUGUGGAAUUUUGUAUGUACCAUAUGAAUAAGGAUCGGCUAACUCCGUGCCAGCAGCCGCGGUAAUACGGAGGAUCCGAGCGUUAUCCGGAUUUAUUGGGUUUAAAGGGAGCGUAGGUGGAUUGUUAAGUCAGUUGUGAAAGUUUGCGGCUCAACCGUAAAAUUGCAGUUGAAACUGGCAGUCUUGAGUACAGUAGAGGUGGGCGGAAUUCGUGGUGUAGCGGUGAAAUGCUUAGAUAUCACGAAGAACUCCGAUUGCGAAGGCAGCUCACUAGACUGCAACUGACACUGAGGCUCGAAAGUGUGGGUAUCAAACAGGAUUAGAUACCCUGGUAGUCCACACAGUAAACGAUGAAUACUCGCUGUUUGCGAUAUACAGCAAGCGGCCAAGCGAAAGCAUUAAGUAUUCCACCUGGGGAGUACGCCGGCAACGGUGAAACUCAAAGGAAUUGACGGGGGCCCGCACAAGCGGAGGAACAUGUGGUUUAAUUCGAUGAUACGCGAGGAACCUUACCCGGGCUUAAAUUGCAAAUGAAUAAUCUGGAAACAGGUUAGCCGCAAGGCAUUUGUGAAGGUGCUGCAUGGUUGUCGUCAGCUCGUGCCGUGAGGUGUCGGCUUAAGUGCCAUAACGAGCGCAACCCUUAUCUUUAGUUACUAACAGGUCAUGCUGAGGACUCUAGAGAGACUGCCGUCGUAAGAUGUGAGGAAGGUGGGGAUGACGUCAAAUCAGCACGGCCCUUACGUCCGGGGCUACACACGUGUUACAAUGGGGGGUACAGAAGGCAGCUACCUGGCGACAGGAUGCUAAUCCCAAAACCUCUCUCAGUUCGGAUCGAAGUCUGCAACCCGACUUCGUGAAGCUGGAUUCGCUAGUAAUCGCGCAUCAGCCAUGGCGCGGUGAAUACGUUCCCGGGCCUUGUACACACCGCCCGUCAAGCCAUGAAAGCCGGGGGUACCUGAAGUACGUAACAGCAAGGAGCGUCCUAGGGUAAAACUGGUAAUUGGGGCUAAGU
RNAcentral lists this ribosomal RNA (1435 nucleotides) under uncultured organism. RNAcentral's name for it is "16S ribosomal RNA". It matches the Rfam family "Bacterial small subunit ribosomal RNA". The record is from RNAcentral.